This 253-nucleotide ribosomal RNA is filed under the name uncultured bacterium. RNAcentral describes it as "partial 16S ribosomal RNA". It matches the Rfam family "Bacterial small subunit ribosomal RNA", at positions 524 to 776 of the family's 1533-position model. The record is from RNAcentral.
UACGUAGGGUGCAAGCGUUGUCCGGAAUUAUUGGGCGUAAAGAGCUCGUAGGCGGUUUGUCGCGUCUGCUGUGAAAUCCCGAGGCUCAACCUCGGGCCUGCAGUGGGUACGGGCAGACUAGAGUGCGGUAGGGGAGAUUGGAAUUCCUGGUGUAGCGGUGGAAUGCGCAGAUAUCAGGAGGAACACCGAUGGCGGAGGCAGAUCUCUGGCCCGGUACUGACGCUGAGAUGCGAAAGCGUGGGGAGCAAACAGG